AACGCACGAGACCUGCGGACCUGCGGAGGGAUCAUUACUGAGUGAGGGCCUCGCGCCCGACCUCCAACCCUCUGUGAACCAAACUUGUUGCUUCGGGGGCUGCCCUGCCGUCUGGAGGGGCGCCCCCGGAGGACCAUCAAACGCUGCAUCUGUGCGUCGGAGUAUCAAUCAAAUUGAACAAAACUUUCAACAAUGGAUCUCU
Molecule: unclassified non-coding RNA, 202 nt
Filed under: soil metagenome
Description: partial contains 5.8S ribosomal RNA, internal transcribed spacer 2, and large subunit ribosomal RNA
Source: RNAcentral